CAUCGUUUAAAGCAUUGGAUACAUCUCUUUCAAAAUUAAGGAUGAAUUCUACUUUAUUAGCUAUUUCAAGCAUUGGCCAAGCAGGAGAGUUGUUGUUCUCUUGCACGUGGAAACUACCUUUGUUUUCUUAGCUUUGGUGUCUACCAAUUAUGCUACCU
Long non-coding RNA from Juglans microcarpa x Juglans regia, 158 nucleotides. RefSeq lists it as uncharacterized. The transcript is spliced from 2 exons. The record is from RefSeq and is a predicted model, not a curated record. Lineage: Eukaryota; Viridiplantae; Streptophyta; Magnoliopsida; Fagales; Juglandaceae.